RNAcentral lists this ribosomal RNA (253 nucleotides) under uncultured bacterium. RNAcentral describes it as "partial 16S ribosomal RNA". It matches the Rfam family "Bacterial small subunit ribosomal RNA", at positions 524 to 776 of the family's 1533-position model. The record is from RNAcentral.
UACGGGGGGGGCAAGCGUUGUUCGGAAUUACUGGGCGUAAAGGGCUCGUAGGCGGUCUGUUGCGUCAGGAGUGAAAACUCGGGGCUUAACCCCGAGCCUGCUUCUGAUACGGGCAGACUAGAGGUAUGCAGGGGAGAACGGAAUUCCGGGUGUAGCGGUGGAAUGCGUAGAGAUCCGGAAGAACACCAGCGGCGAAGGCGGCAUCCUGGACUGGUCCUGACACUCAGGAGCGAAAGCGUGGGGAGCGAUCCGG